RNAcentral lists this ribosomal RNA (253 nucleotides) under uncultured bacterium. RNAcentral describes it as "partial 16S ribosomal RNA". It matches the Rfam family "Bacterial small subunit ribosomal RNA", at positions 524 to 776 of the family's 1533-position model. The record is from RNAcentral.
UACGGAGGGUGCGAGCGUUAAUCGGAAUUACUGGGCGUAAAGGGUGCGUAGGUGGUUUGAUAAGUUAGCUGUGAAAUCCCCGGGCUUAACCUGGGCAGGUCAGCUAAGACUGUCAGACUCGAGUAUAGGAGAGGGUAGUGGAAUUUCCGGUGUAGCGGUGAAAUGCGUAGAGAUCGGAAGGAACACCAGUGGCGAAGGCGGCUACCUGGCCAGAUACUGACACUGAGGCACGAAAGCGUGGGGAGCAAACAGG